This 810-nucleotide ribosomal RNA is filed under the name uncultured bacterium. Its description in RNAcentral is "bacterial SSU rRNA". It matches the Rfam family "Bacterial small subunit ribosomal RNA", at positions 8 to 796 of the family's 1533-position model. The record is from RNAcentral.
AGAGUUUGAUCAUGGCUCAGAACGAACGCUGGCGGCGUGGAUAAGACAUGCAAGUCGAACGAGACUUUCCGUUGUAGCAAUACGAUGGAAAGUUUAGUGGCGAACGGGUGCUUAACACGUGGGCAACCUGCCAUGAAGUGGGGGAUAGCUCGCCGAAAGGCGAAUUAAUACCGCAUGUGAUUAGAAAGGACAUCCUUUCAAAAUUAAAGUCGGGGCAACCUGACGCUUCUUGUGGGGCCCGCGGCCUAUCAGCUAGUUGGUGAGGUAACGGCUCACCAAGGCUUUGACGGGUAGCUGGUCUGAGAGGACGACCAGCCACACUGGGACUGAGACACGGCCCAGACACCUACGGGUGGCAGCAGUCGAGAAUUUUUGACAAUGGGGGAAACCCUGAUCGAGCGACGCCGCGUGGAGGAUGAAGGUCUUCGGAUUGUAAACUCCUGUCAUUUGGGAACAAGGUGCACACGUUAACUGCGUGUGUAUUGAUAGUACCAGAAGAGGAAGAGACGGCUAACUCUGUGCCAGCAGCCGCGGUAAUACAGAGGUCUCAAGCGUUGUUCGGAUUCAUUGGGCGUAAAGGGUGCGUAGGCGGCGCGGUAAGUCGGGUGUGAAAUCUCGGAGCUUAACUCCGAAACUGCAUUCGAUACUGCCGUGCUUGAGGACUGGAGAGGAGACUGGAAUUUACGGUGUAGCGGUGAAAUGCGUAGAUAUCGUAAGGAAGACCAGUGGCGAAGGCGGGUCUCUGGACAGUUCCUGACGCUGAGGCACGAAGGUCAGGGGAGCAAACGGGAUUAGAUACCCUAGUAGUCC